Molecule: ribosomal RNA, 502 nt
Filed under: uncultured bacterium
Lineage: Bacteria
Description: partial 16S ribosomal RNA
Rfam family: Bacterial small subunit ribosomal RNA
Source: RNAcentral
AUUGAACGCUGGCGGAAUGCUUUACACAUGCAAGUCGAACGGCAGCACGGGUGCUUGCACCUGGUGGCGAGUGGCGAACGGGUGAGUAAUACAUCGGAACGUACCCAGUCGUGGGGGAUAACGUAGCGAAAGUUACGCUAAUACCGCAUACGUCCUGAGGGAGAAAGCGGGGGACCGUAAGGCCUCGCGCGAUUGGAGCGGCCGAUGUCUGAUUAGCUAGUUGGUGAGGUAAAGGCUCACCAAGGCGACGAUCAGUAGCUGGUCUGAGAGGAUGAUCAGCCACACUGGAACUGAGACACGGUCCAGACUCCUACGGGAGGCAGCAGUGGGGAAUUUUGGACAAUGGGCGAAAGCCUGAUCCAGCCAUUCCGCGUGAGUGAAGAAGGCCUUCGGGUUGUAAAGCUCUUUCGGCAGGAACGAAACGCUCUAGAUUAAUACUCUGGGGUAAUGACGGUACCUGAAGAAGAAGCACCGGCUAACUACGUGCCAGCCGCCGCCGUAA